GGCGUCAUAGCUCAACGGAUAGAGCCCUCGAUUUCUACACGAACGUGGUCGGGGAGAUGUGGGUUCGAGUCCCGCUGGCGCCA
This 83-nucleotide transfer RNA is filed under the name Devosia sp. 17-2-E-8. Its description in RNAcentral is "tRNA-Arg". It matches the Rfam family "tRNA". From Rfam's summary of the family: Transfer RNA (tRNA) molecules are approximately 80 nucleotides in length. Their secondary structure includes four short double-helical elements and three loops (D, anti-codon, and T loops). The record is from RNAcentral. Lineage: Bacteria; Pseudomonadati; Pseudomonadota; Alphaproteobacteria; Hyphomicrobiales; Devosiaceae.